Molecule: transfer RNA, 100 nt
Filed under: Coemansia sp. RSA 2320
Lineage: Eukaryota; Fungi; Kickxellomycota; Kickxellomycetes; Kickxellales; Kickxellaceae
Also listed under: 2 other names
Description: tRNA-Tyr
Rfam family: tRNA
About the family: Transfer RNA (tRNA) molecules are approximately 80 nucleotides in length. Their secondary structure includes four short double-helical elements and three loops (D, anti-codon, and T loops).
Source: RNAcentral
CCGAAAAUAGCUCAGCGGUAGAGCGGGAGACUGUAGUUGAGCUGGGUCGUUCCAGCUAAAAGUUAUCUCUAGGUCCCUGGUUCAAAUCCGGGUUUUCGGA